This 602-nucleotide ribosomal RNA is filed under the name Serratia marcescens. Its description in RNAcentral is "bacterial SSU rRNA". It matches the Rfam family "Bacterial small subunit ribosomal RNA", at positions 1 to 592 of the family's 1533-position model. Lineage: Bacteria; Pseudomonadati; Pseudomonadota; Gammaproteobacteria; Enterobacterales; Yersiniaceae. The record is from RNAcentral.
UAAUUGAAGAGUUUGAUCAUGGCUCAGAUUGAACGCUGGCGGCAGGCUUAACACAUGCAAGUCGAGCGGUAGCACAGGGGAGCUUGCUCCCUGGGUGACGAGCGGCGGACGGGUGAGUAAUGUCUGGGAAACUGCCUGAUGGAGGGGGAUAACUACUGGAAACGGUAGCUAAUACCGCAUAACGUCGCAAGACCAAAGAGGGGGACCUUCGGGCCUCUUGCCAUCAGAUGUGCCCAGAUGGGAUUAGCUAGUAGGUGGGGUAAUGGCUCACCUAGGCGACGAUCCCUAGCUGGUCUGAGAGGAUGACCAGCCACACUGGAACUGAGACACGGUCCAGACUCCUACGGGAGGCAGCAGUGGGGAAUAUUGCACAAUGGGCGCAAGCCUGAUGCAGCCAUGCCGCGUGUGUGAAGAAGGCCUUCGGGUUGUAAAGCACUUUCAGCGAGGAGGAAGGUGGUGAACUUAAUACGUUCACCAAUUGACGUUACUCGCAGAAGAAGCACCGGCUAACUCCGUGCCAGCAGCCGCGGUAAUACGGAGGGUGCAAGCGUUAAUCGGAAUUACUGGGCGUAAAGCGCACGCAGGCGGUUUGUUAAGUCAGA